ACUCCUACGGGAGGCAGCAGUGGGGAAUAUUGCACAAUGGGCGCAAGCCUGAUGCAGCGACGCCGCGUGGGGGAUGACGGCCUUCGGGUUGUAAACUCCUUUCGUCAGGGACGAAGCGAAAGUGACGGUACCUGGAUAAGAAGCACCGGCUAACUACGUGCCAGCAGCCGCGGUAAUACGUAGGGUGCGAGCGUUGUCCGGAAUUACUGGGCGUAAAGAGCUCGUAGGUGGUUUGUCGCGUCGUUUGUGUAAGUCCACGGCUUAACUGUGGGAUGGCAGGCGAUACGGGCAUAACUUGAGUGCUGUAGGGGAGACUGGAAUUCCUGGUGUAGCGGUGAAAUGCGCAGAUAUCAGGAGGAACACCGAUGGCGAAGGCAGGUCUCUGGGCAGUAACUGACGCUGAGGAGCGAAAGCAUGGGUAGCGAACAGGAUUAGAUACCCUGGUAGUCCAUGCCGUAAACGGUGGGCGCUAGGUGUGAGUCCCUUCCACGGGGUUCGUGCCGUAGCUAACGCAUUAAGCGCCCCGCCUGGGGAGUACGGCCGCAAGGCUAAAACUCAAAGGAAUUGACGGGG
This 573-nucleotide ribosomal RNA is filed under the name uncultured bacterium. Its description in RNAcentral is "bacterial SSU rRNA". It matches the Rfam family "Bacterial small subunit ribosomal RNA", at positions 335 to 918 of the family's 1533-position model. The record is from RNAcentral.